RNAcentral lists this ribosomal RNA (485 nucleotides) under uncultured bacterium. RNAcentral describes it as "SSU rRNA". It matches the Rfam family "Bacterial small subunit ribosomal RNA", at positions 26 to 521 of the family's 1533-position model. The record is from RNAcentral.
AGAACGAACGCUGGCGGCAUGCCUAACACAUGCAAGUCGAACGCUUCCGGGGCUUCGGUCGCGGAGGAGUGGCGCACGGGUGAGUAGCGCGUGGGAACCUGCCCUGUUGUGGGGGAUAACCGAGGGAAACUUCGGCUAAUACCGCAUACGCCCCGGGACUUGGUCUUCGGAUUAGGUCUGGGGGAAAGAUUGAUCGCAGCAGGAGGGGCCCGCGUCGGAUUAGCUGGUUGGUGGGGUAACGGCUCACCAAGGCGAUGAUCCGUAGCUGGUCUGAGAGGAUGAUCAGCCACACUGGGACUGAGACACGGCCCAGACUCCUACGGGAGGCAGCAGUGGGGGAAUAUUGGACAAUGGGGGCAACCCUGAUCCAGCAAUGCCGCGUGAGUGAUGAAGGCCUUAGGGUUGUAAAGCUCUUUCGCCCGCGACGAUGAUGACGGUAGCGGGAGAAGGAACGCCCCGGCUAACUUCGUGCCAGCAGCCGCGGU